UCUGUGUGAGAGUGAACAACCGUCCAAAUGGCUCAGCAGGGAGUUCUGCUGGACAAGGACCAGUUCUGUUGUUCUGUCUGUCUGGAUCUACUGAAGGAGCCGGUCACUACUGCCUGUGGACACAGUUACUGUAGGAGCUGUAUUGAGGACUACUGGGAUCAGGAUGUUCUGAAAGGGGUCUAUAGCUGUCCACAGUGCAGACAGACCUUCACUCCAAGGCCUAAUCUGACAAAAAGUAACCUAUUGGCUGAGGUGGUGGAGAAACUGAAGAAGACAGGACUCCAGGCUGCUCCCCCUCCUGCUCUGUGCUAUGCUGGACCUGGAGAUGUGGCGUGUGAUUUCUGCACUGGGACCAGAAAGCAGAAAGCUCUCAUGUCCUGUCUGGCGUGUCUGGCCUCUUACUGUGAGACUCACCUACAACCUCACUAUGAUUUUUCUGGUUUCAAGAAGCACAAGCUAGUCAAAGCCACCGCACAACUACAGGAGAAGAUCUGCUCUCAUCAUGACAAACUGCUGGACGUUUACUGUCGUACCGAUCAGCAGUGUAUCUGUUAUCUGUGUACAAUGGAUGAACAUAAAGGCCAUGAUACAGUGUCAGCUGCAGCAGAGAGGACUGAGAAACAGAGGCAGCUGGGGAUGAGUCAGCAGAAGGUCCAGCAGAGAUUCCAGAAGAGAGAGAAGGAGCUGAAGGAGCUCCAACAGGCUGUGGAGUCUCUCAAGGUGAUGAGAACAGCAGUACCCUGAGGUCUCUGUAUUACCCCCCGGUGAGGAGUGACAGGGUGAAGGAGGGCCAGCUGUGCUGUGGAGAACACUGACUACGGCAGCAUCACCCUGGUCUUCUAGAACCAAGAGGGUGGCCUGCAGGUGGUACCAGGUCAGGGGAGUUCAUCUCUGCUCCCAGCAUCCCUGGGACAGUACUGAUCAACAUAGCUGACCUGAUGCAGAGGUGGACCAGUGAUGUUUUCCUCUCAGUGGUCCAUAGGGUUUUACUGCCCCCUGUUGGAGACUGGAGCACACUGCAGCCCCUGGCUUUCUUUGUGCAGCUGGAGGAUGAGGUCCUCAUCACCUGUUGUGAUGGGUCCAACAAAUAUCCCCAGGUGAAGGCAGGGUCCUAUCUCAUCCAACACGUCAAUGACUUUUGUAGGAGGGAGGGAGCAUUUCCAAUGUUAAGCUAUGGAAUGAACUGUGAAUGUUAUGGUGAAUUUUUAAUACAGAUGUACUUUAAUACAAUAAUUCCUUGAAUGUAAUUAGUUUGUGUAUUGUAAUUAUGUUAUUGAGACAGAAUAAGUCAGUAAUGAGAGAAUAAAUAAGUCCAGUCCAACCAUUACCUCUCUCCUCUUUCACAUCCCUCUAUCAUCUCUCCAUGGGGGAGUACAACCAUUACCUCUCUCCUCUUUCACAUCCCUCUAUCAUC
This is a non-coding RNA of Salmo salar (Atlantic salmon), 1414 nucleotides long. NCBI's taxonomy places the organism in Eukaryota, Metazoa, Chordata, Actinopteri, Salmoniformes, Salmonidae. The record is from RefSeq and is a predicted model, not a curated record.